UAUUUCUCAGGGCUGUGUCGCUGCUGGGCCAGGAAGUCCUUCUUCCUGGGGCCAGGUCGCUGCUGGGCCGAGACGUCCCUUCCCCUUGGGGCCGGGUCACUGCUGGGCCGGGACGUCCCUUCCCCUCACAGCCAGGACGCUGCUGGGUUGGGAGGUCCCUUCCCCUCAGGGCCGGGAUGCUGCUGGGUUGGGACAUCCCUUCUCCCUGAAGCCAGGUCACUGCUGGGCCGGGAGGUCCCUUCCCCUCGGGGCCAGGACACUGCUGGGCCGGGAGGUCCCUUCCCCUCAGGGCCGGGAUGCUGCUGGGCUGGGAGGUCCCUUCCCCUCGGGGCCAGGACACUGCUGGGCCGGGAGGUCCCUUCCCCUCUGGGCCGGGAUGCUGCUGGGUUGGGACAUCCCUUCUCCCUGAAGCCAGGACGCUGCUGGGCCGGGAGGUCCCUUCUUCCUGAAGCCAGGACGCUGCUGGGCCGGGAGGUCCCUUCUCCCCGGGUCUGGGCUGCCCUGUCUCUGUUCCCAAGCCCAGAGGCACUGGAGCCGGCUGCAGUGCAAUGAGGCCAGGCUGCAGCUGCAGC
Gopherus flavomarginatus (Mexican gopher tortoise) is the source of this 572-nucleotide long non-coding RNA. RefSeq lists it as uncharacterized. The record is from RefSeq and is a predicted model, not a curated record. NCBI's taxonomy places the organism in Eukaryota, Metazoa, Chordata, Testudines, Testudinidae. The transcript is spliced from 4 exons.